This 56-nucleotide ribosomal RNA is filed under the name uncultured Russulaceae. RNAcentral describes it as "partial 28S ribosomal RNA". Lineage: Eukaryota; Fungi; Basidiomycota; Agaricomycetes; Russulales; Russulaceae. The record is from RNAcentral.
ACCUCAAAUCGGGUGAGACUACCCGCUGAACUUAAGCAUAUCAAUAAGCGGAGGAA